This 74-nucleotide transfer RNA is filed under the name Thaumarchaeota archaeon AC-647-G13. Its description in RNAcentral is "tRNA-Pro". It matches the Rfam family "tRNA". Rfam says of the family: Transfer RNA (tRNA) molecules are approximately 80 nucleotides in length. Their secondary structure includes four short double-helical elements and three loops (D, anti-codon, and T loops). RNAcentral also lists the same sequence under 1 other name. The record is from RNAcentral. Lineage: Archaea; Thermoproteati; Nitrososphaerota.
GGGAAUGUAGGUUAUCUUGGUAUACUGUCAGCCUUGGGUACUGGAGAUCAUGGGUUCAACUCCCACCAUUCCCA